Molecule: ribosomal RNA, 240 nt
Filed under: uncultured soil bacterium
Lineage: Bacteria
Description: partial 16S ribosomal RNA
Rfam family: Bacterial small subunit ribosomal RNA
Source: RNAcentral
AGAGUGAACGCUGGCGGCAGGCCUAAUACAUGCAAGUCGAACGGCUGCACGGCAGAGCUUGCUCUGUGGGUGGCGAGUGGCGGACGGGUGAGGAAUACAUGGGAAUCUGCCCAGUCGUGGGGGAUAACGUAGGGAAACUUACGCCAAUACCGCAUGCGCCCGUUCGGGGGAAAGCCGGGGACCUUCGGGCCUGGCGCGAUUGGAUGAGCCCAUGUCGAUUAGCUAGUUGGCGGGGUAACG